CGGGGAAUAUUGCACAAUGGGCGCAAGCCUGAUGCAGCCAUGCCGCGUGUAUGAAGAAGGUCUUCGGAUUGUAAAGCACUUUAAGUUGGGAGGAAGGGCAUUAACCUAAUACGUUAGUGUUUUGACGUUACCGACAGAAUAAGCACCGGCUAACUCUGUGCCAGCAGCCGCGGUAAUACAGAGGGUGCAAGCGUUAAUCGGAAUUACUGGGCGUAAAGCGCGCGUAGGUGGUUUGUUAAGUUGGAUGUGAAAUCCCCGGGCUCAACCUGGGAACUGCAUUCAAAACUGACUGACUAGAGUAUGGUAGAGGGUGGUGGAAUUUCCUGUGUAGCGGUGAAAUGCGUAGAUAUAGGAAGGAACACCAGUGGCGAAGGCGACCACCUGGACUAAUACUGACACUGAGGUGCGAAAGCGUGGGGAGCAAACA
This 427-nucleotide ribosomal RNA is filed under the name uncultured bacterium. Its description in RNAcentral is "partial 16S ribosomal RNA". It matches the Rfam family "Bacterial small subunit ribosomal RNA", at positions 355 to 774 of the family's 1533-position model. The record is from RNAcentral.